GCGUCGCAAAUGGCGCGAAGACCGUGACGAAUGCCGGAUGAAACUACAGAUCGUUAAUCUCCAUGUCGCGGGUUCGAAUCCCGUCGGGUCCUCCA
Molecule: transfer RNA, 95 nt
Filed under: Rhizobium sp. BK312
Lineage: Bacteria; Pseudomonadati; Pseudomonadota; Alphaproteobacteria; Hyphomicrobiales; Rhizobiaceae
Description: tRNA-Asn
Source: RNAcentral